AUUGAACGCUGGCGGCAUGCCUUACACAUGCAAGUCGAACGGUAACGGGCCUUCGUGUGCCGCCGAGUGGUGAAUGGGUGAGUAAUACAUCCGCACGUGCCCGAUCUUGGGGGAUAACGCGUCGAAAGCUUUCCUAAUACCGCAUACGAUCUACGGAUUAAAGCCGGGGACCGCAAGGCCUUGCGCGUACGUAGCUGCCGAUGGCAGAUUAGGUAGUUGGUGGGAUAAAAGCUUACCAAGCCGACGAUCUGUAGCUGGCCUGAGAGGAUGAUCAGCCACACUGGGACUGAGACACGGCCCAGACUCCUACGGGAGGCAGCAGUGGGGAAUCUUGGGCAAUGGGCGAAAGCCUGAUCCAGCAAUGCCGCGUGAAGGAUGAAGGCGUUCGGGUUGUAAAGUGCUUUUGUACGGAACGAAAAGAAUUCUUUUAAUACAGGAGGGUCAUGACGGUACCGGAAGAAUAAGCACCGGCUAACUACGUG
RNAcentral lists this ribosomal RNA (482 nucleotides) under uncultured bacterium. RNAcentral describes it as "partial 16S ribosomal RNA". It matches the Rfam family "Bacterial small subunit ribosomal RNA", at positions 30 to 507 of the family's 1533-position model. The record is from RNAcentral.